This 719-nucleotide unclassified non-coding RNA is filed under the name Colpoon compressum. RNAcentral describes it as "sequence contains ITS1, 5.8S rRNA gene, ITS2". The stretch from base 334 to 489 matches the Rfam family "5.8S ribosomal RNA". The record is from RNAcentral. Lineage: Eukaryota; Viridiplantae; Streptophyta; Magnoliopsida; Santalales; Santalaceae.
UUUCCGUAGGUGAACCUGCGGAAGGAUCAUUGUCAAAACCUUGCCCAAAGGAUGACCCGAGAAUGAGUUUGUAACCCUUGAUGGAAGCGAGACAAUCUCGCGUUCAUUUUGUCGGCACGCAUGCGAUUUGACCCAAGUGCGGUUGUCUCAAAGUUUGAAGUGAUGGCUUCUUCUUUGGCAAGGCUACUCACGUUUUUGGGUGCUUAUCCCUCGUGAUCUCCGAUUUCAACCAACCAUUCGGCGCGGAAUGCGCCAAGGAAAGCAAUACAAAGAGCAAGCUGUUGCGGCACAUCAUUGAUGUGCCUCAUGCAGGAUGCCGUACACAUAAUAAACGACUCUCGGCAACGGAUAUCUCGGCUCUCGCAUCGAUGAAGAACGCAGCGAAAUGCGAUACUUGGUGUGAAUUGCAGAAUCCCGUGAAUCAUCGAGUCUUUGAACGCAAGUUGCGCCCAAAGCCAUUAGGUGAAGGGCACGCCUGCCUGGGCGUCAUGCGUCGUGCUGCACCCUAUGUCCCUACCUUAUGAGUGGUGGAAUUCCGUGGGGCGUGAUGUUGGCUUCCCGUAGAGUGAUGAUGCGGUUAGCUGAAAUUUAGGGUCCCUGGCGGCACGCCUCGAUGACAAGUUGUGGAUAACAAUGUUUGCCUCGUGUUGCCGUGUGACGAAUUUUCAGACUUUUGGACUCCAUUCACCUCGUGAGAAUGGAACUCCAUUUGCGACCCC